ACUGGAUACUGGAAUUUAAUAUUGUUUUUACUCAUUGUUGACACAUUUCACCUGAGGAAAUACAUUGUGACAGCAAGGGUUUUACUAGUGACGAUAUGCAUAUGGACUUGACAGUUUCAUAUAGCAUCCGCCUCUGUCAGGUUGGAGUGUUUAAUUCCAAACAGGCACCGGUAAUCCCUGCCAUAUCUCCUUGAUGCCAAGCAAGCUGCUGUUCCACGCAGGUCUGGAGGAGGAUCGUCUUAACAAGCACAGUGGAACAGACACUUUAAUUAAAAACUACAAGUUCCAAUUGGAGGUGGAGUCCAAAAAUAAUUUCAGUUACAUAAAUAAACAACGAUUGCUGCCA
Molecule: long non-coding RNA, 346 nt
Organism: Anguilla rostrata (American eel)
Lineage: Eukaryota; Metazoa; Chordata; Actinopteri; Anguilliformes; Anguillidae
Exons: 2
Source: RefSeq, a predicted model, not a curated record